ACCAAGGUACUUGGCUUUAUCGCUCAACAUCUUGUCUAGUUCAUUAUGACUUUUGCCACUGUGACAAUCUGAUUGAUUGACAUUGCCAGUUCUCUGGAAUUCUAUCUUACCUGCUUGACUCCCCGCUAUUUCUUAUAGGUAAAAUUUAAUACACUGAUCAUCCCACCAAUGCAACUUACAUGAAAUAAACAUGCAAGCAUGUUAGAG
RNAcentral lists this unclassified non-coding RNA (207 nucleotides) under Hevea brasiliensis (rubber tree). Lineage: Eukaryota; Viridiplantae; Streptophyta; Magnoliopsida; Malpighiales; Euphorbiaceae. The record is from RNAcentral.